Molecule: long non-coding RNA, 592 nt
Organism: Ipomoea nil (Japanese morning glory)
Lineage: Eukaryota; Viridiplantae; Streptophyta; Magnoliopsida; Solanales; Convolvulaceae
Exons: 3
Source: RefSeq, a predicted model, not a curated record
UCUCUCUCUCUCUAAUUUUAAGAGUGGAAUGAGUUCCCAAAAUAUUAAUUUACAGACAAAAAAAAAUUAAAAGAACACCCUAGAAUUAGCAGGAUGGGAAUGAACAAAUUUCAAUUAAUUGCAUGUAAUUCAAUUUUUACCAACAAUAUAACUAAAUCGUUUUGGAACCAUAUGAAAAUUUUAUGAUAGUUGUACCAGAGAUCCAAAAUAUUUCGGUUCAUCUAAUGGCUAAUGAUUUUUAAGAAUUCCGGUUAACGGUUAAUUCGGUUUAAAAGUGUCGGUUAACUAAAUUGCAUGUACAUAUAUAUUUUUUAUUUUUUUUAUAAUUCAUAAAUCAUGCUAUUAGACUCGUUUUUCAAUUUUUAUCAUUUAAAUAUUGAUGUAAUGAGCAAUGACUACUUUGUAGUGUGAAACUAUGAAUUAAAAAUUUUCAUUAAUAAAUUUUAAGAAAUAAUAAAUUUGACUAAAAUAUUUGGUUCAGUUAAUUCAAAAAUAAGAAUUUCAAUUUGGUUAUUGGUUAAUGGUUAAAACAUUUUGCAAAUUCAGUUAUUUCGGUUCGAUUAUUACUCAUUGACGAAUGAACACCACCAAC